This 105-nucleotide transfer RNA is filed under the name Colletotrichum tofieldiae. It matches the Rfam family "tRNA". Rfam says of the family: Transfer RNA (tRNA) molecules are approximately 80 nucleotides in length. Their secondary structure includes four short double-helical elements and three loops (D, anti-codon, and T loops). Lineage: Eukaryota; Fungi; Ascomycota; Sordariomycetes; Glomerellales; Glomerellaceae. The record is from Rfam by way of RNAcentral.
GGCCGGUUGGCCCAAUGGCAAGGCGUCUGACUACGACUCAUGCUCUCACUUGAGAUCAUAGAUCGUGUAAUCAGGAGAUUCUGGGUUCGACCCCCAGGCUGGUCA